This 244-nucleotide ribosomal RNA is filed under the name uncultured Staphylococcus sp. Its description in RNAcentral is "partial 16S ribosomal RNA". It matches the Rfam family "Bacterial small subunit ribosomal RNA", at positions 96 to 334 of the family's 1533-position model. Lineage: Bacteria; Bacillati; Bacillota; Bacilli; Caryophanales; Staphylococcaceae. The record is from RNAcentral.
CGGCGGACGGGUGAGUAACACGUGGAUAACCUACCUAUAAGACUGGGAUAACUUCGGGAAACCGGAGCUAAUACCGGAUAAUAUAUUGAACCGCAUGGUUCAAUAGUGAAAGACGGUUUUGCUGUCACUUAUAGAUGGAUCCGCGCCGCAUUAGCUAGUUGGUAAGGUAACGGCUUACCAAGGCAACGAUGCGUAGCCGACCUGAGAGGGUUAUCGGCCACACUGGAACUUAGACACGGUCCAG